Molecule: ribosomal RNA, 706 nt
Filed under: uncultured bacterium
Lineage: Bacteria
Description: bacterial SSU rRNA
Rfam family: Bacterial small subunit ribosomal RNA
Source: RNAcentral
CCACGCUGUAAACGAUGUCGAUUUGGAGGUUGUGCCCUUGAGGCGUGGCUUCCGGAGCUAACGCGUUAAAUCGACCGCCUGGGGAGUACGGCCGCAAGGUUAAAACUCAAAUGAAUUGACGGGGGCCCGCACAAGCGGUGGAGCAUGUGGUUUAAUUCGAUGCAACGCGAAGAACCUUACCUACUCUUGACAUCCAGAGAACUUUCCAGAGAUGGAUUGGUGCCUUCGGGAACUCUGAGACAGGUGCUGCAUGGCUGUCGUCAGCUCGUGUUGUGAAAUGUUGGGUUAAGUCCCGCAACGAGCGCAACCCUUAUCCUUUGUUGCCAGCGGUUCGGCCGGGAACUCAAAGGAGACUGCCAGUGAUAAACUGGAGGAAGGUGGGGAUGACGUCAAGUCAUCAUGGCCCUUACGAGUAGGGCUACACACGUGCUACAAUGGCAUAUACAAAGAGAAGCGACCUCGCGAGAGCAAGCGGACCUCAUAAAGUAUGUCGUAGUCCGGAUUGGAGUCUGCAACUCGACUCCAUGAAGUCGGAAUCGCUAGUAAUCGUAGAUCAGAAUGCUACGGUGAAUACGUUCCCGGGCCUUGUACACACCGCCCGUCACACCAUGGGAGUGGGUUGCAAAAGAAGUAGGUAGCUUAACCUUCGGGGGGGCGCUUACCACUUUGUGAUUCAUGACUGGGGUGAAGUCGUAACAAGGUAACC